This 393-nucleotide ribosomal RNA is filed under the name uncultured bacterium. RNAcentral's name for it is "partial 16S ribosomal RNA". It matches the Rfam family "Bacterial small subunit ribosomal RNA", at positions 523 to 918 of the family's 1533-position model. The record is from RNAcentral.
CUACGGAGGAUCCGAGCGUUAUCCGGAUUUAUUGGGUUUAAAGGGUGCGUAGGUGGUUUGAUAAGUCAGCGGUGAAAGUUUGCAGCUUAACUGUAAAAAUGCCGUUGAAACUGUCGGACUUGAGUGUAAAUGAGGUAGGCGGAAUGCGUGGUGUAGCGGUGAAAUGCAUAGAUAUCACGCAGAACUCCGAUUGCGAAGGCAGCUUACUAAGCUACAACUGACACUGAAGCACGAAAGCGUGGGGAUCAAACAGGAUUAGAUACCCUGGUAGUCCACGCAGUAAACGAUGAUUACUAGCUGUUUGCGAUACACAGUAAGCGGCACAGCGAAAGCGUUAAGUAAUCCACCUGGGGAGUACGCCGGCAACGGUGAAACUCAAAGGAAUUGACGGGG